Molecule: non-coding RNA, 24 nt
Filed under: Arabidopsis thaliana (thale cress)
Lineage: Eukaryota; Viridiplantae; Streptophyta; Magnoliopsida; Brassicales; Brassicaceae
Source: RNAcentral
UGAAGGUAAAUGUAAUACCCCGGU